Molecule: non-coding RNA, 5829 nt
Organism: Manis javanica (Malayan pangolin)
Lineage: Eukaryota; Metazoa; Chordata; Mammalia; Pholidota; Manidae
Source: RefSeq, a predicted model, not a curated record
CUCUAUUCUCAUCUUGCCUACUUCUCAUUUUAAAAAGAAGAAAAUGCCAUCUUCUAUAAAGUGAUUCUGAAAACUAAGAGGACACCGACAGCAAAACUCAGAUUCUCCUUCUCGCUUGCCUCUAUUUUUGAUUCAUUUAGUAUGAAAUCUCUAAGAGUAUCAUUACAGAUAUUUUAGAACUUUAAAAGAGUGAUUUCAGAAAGAAUAUGCAUUUCCUAUGUGCCUUAUAAAUGUGAAGGGCAGGUGAAAGUGACUCUUCCAAAACUAACCGUCAUGGUGAAAGAGUCUAGCUUCCCUGUCCUCUCCCUCCUCCCUGCACUGGGCCCUCUGCAUGACAAAUCCUGAGAACCUCUCAACAUGCACAUCGUGAUCCCUGUCAUCUGCAUUGUAACUAAGGUUUCCUAGGUGAUACUCCUUCCUCCAGCCUCUCUCCCUUCCAAUUGACAGGUAGCAGUGAUUUUUCUGCAACCUAAAUGUUACCAUGUCACUGGCUCACCUCCUGUGACUACUUACCAGAAAAAUCCUGUUCAUCCUUGAAAAUCCUGUACCGGCUUCAUUUGCUCUGAGCCUUUCCCUGACCACCCUUCACUAUCCUUGGAGUGAACUCAGCUCUCCUACUUCAAUUUUAAUAUACACUUGUGCUGUCACAUGCCUCACUGUGCAUUGCAAUGGUUUAUUUACAAUGUUUGCCUCUUGGAGAAGUUUGCAGGUUUUUUGAGGACAAGACAUUAUCAUCAUGAUCAUUUCUGACUCUCUAACUUCUAGCACAGCCUAGAAAAUAACAAGCCCAUGAGAAGUGUUUCAGAACCAGAAAGGAUCAACUGUCUGCCGGGUGAAACUAAGUAAAUCCACUGAGCUUUCCUGUGCUCAGCUGUGCACUACCAUUCUUGUUCUUUCCUUCCUCUCGUUGGUCAAUAGGAAAGUGACUCUUAGCUUUCAGCUAAAUAGUUAAUCUGCCAAUGCUUUUUAUUAAAUGCAGAAUGUUUUUAUAGAGUAAAUAAAGUAUUCCCAUACAAAGAGGUAGUCAUGGGCAGCCUUAUGUAAUAAAGACAUAGGUUUGCCUUUGGCAACCUUUCCUUUCAGGUUCUAUAUCCUUUAUUUUUGUACCUUCUACCCCAGAGGCUUCCCAUCAGGAAUGAAGUCAAAGGGUUGGGGUGGAGAGACGAGGGCAGGAGAGGGAGGAAAAGGUUCUUAACUGUAGCAUCCUGGUGUUGCUUCUGUUCUUGAUUAGUCUUCCUGAAGGAAAACUUAUCUGUCUUAUGUUCCAUUCCCACAGGGCCUACCCAGUCAUGAAAGUUAAUAAAAUAUUUCAUGUAAGAUACUCAGUUAUAUUGAGAGCUUAAAGUAUAACUCCUCUCAGGCAACAUUUGCAUUUUCACAAAUGCUCUCAGUCCCCAUCUCGAAAGAAUGAAUAGUAUUGGCAUGACUAUACUUUACAGCAAGUAUAUACCUUAUAAUAAUACCAAGGAAAAAGGUGUUUUUUAAAAAAGCUGAGGGUCUUUUAAUCAAAAUUACCUUGGUGCUGCCUGAAGUGUGUAGGUGCACAGAUGAAUCAGGAAUUGCUUUUGAUUGCCAAUGAUGGGCAAUCUUAAAGUAGUGACCUAAGCAAAUCAGGGGUUUAUUUUUCUUCAUCUAAAAAUGUCCCAAGUUCAGCAUUCGAGGGCCAGUGUAAUGGGUCCAUGAUACCUAAAAGUCCUAGACUUCUGUCUUUCUGCUCCAACAACCUGUAAUAGCUGGCUCCCGUACAUUUGCCUCUUGAUUACAGUAUGGCUAAUGCAUCUCCAACCCUAGAAGGAGGGGAUUGGGGCAAAAGCAAGACCCUUUUAAGUAGCUUUUCAAAAAGUUCCAACAGCUUUCACCUACAUGUGACUGGCUACCUCUGCUAGCAAGGAACUGGCUGGGAAAUGUUGUUAGCUAGGCAUGUUGCCAUGAUACGUAUCUGUAACUAAAGAAGAAAGGAAAAAGCUCUCCAAUAUGCAACUAGUUAUCUUACAGAAAUUCAAAUUGGGGCAAAUAAUCUGUUAUCUUCUGUCUUUAUGGGAUUAUUCAAAUAAAAAAUACUUAGAACUAAAACCUAGCUUAUUUUAGUCAGUGUUAUAUUAGGAUUGCCUUUAAGGUGGUAAUUAUUUUAAUGAAUAUAAGGAAUUAUAAGACCAUUCAGAAAAAUAUAUAGAAAAAUAGUGUGCUCAUUGUUUGCAUAGUACUAUGCUUGGUGCUAAGGAGAUGAGUGAAUUCUUUUUGCCCUCAAGUGUUUUAUCAGUCUAAUAGUCCAGGACAUAGAUACUUGAAAAUUUAAAUAACGGUAUAUUAUAUCAUAUGAUUAUGUAUUAAUCACAUAGUAAAACUAAAUCAUAUAGAUUAAAUUCUAUAGGAGAAAUUCAGAAUCCAGAGAGUGAUGAUUGUGACUAUGGUGGCCAAGGAAGACCUACGAAAGGUAGGAAAUGGAUAGAUUUGAACAGGCAGACAUGAAUGGUGGAGGCCAGGCCCCUACCUUUGAUUUGUACCACCUGUUAUUGUAGCAUAUUUAAAUUAAUAUAUUUGAUUUACUUACACUAUUUGAAUUUUUUUAGUGUUUUAAAAUAUUAUUUCUAUUUUAAAAAUUGACCCAAGCUUUAACUUAUAUUUUAAGAGAAAAAAAAUUCACACCAAAAUCAUAAAUGUAAUACCAAUUUUACUGGCCAACUAAAAUGUAACUUAAGAAAAUGACAAUAAGAUUUUAACAUAAUGAAAUAGAAGUAACAGUAUACCUGAGUCAAAUUAAGUUCUUUAGAGGGGAAAAUGGACCAUUCUGUGAUUAGUAUGUAGUAAAGGGAUAUUUGGUUCAGUAGCAUGCUGUUUAAGACAAAGGUGAGCUUCUAUAUCCAAAAAGACAAUUCUGGUUCUUAAUGUUAACCAGCAGCAACAAUUCCAAUUCACACAAAUAUAAAGUUGGAAAUACGUAAAUAUGUUUAAGACUGUCUCUUAUAAGCUGUUUGUACAAUCAGUUUUUAACUAAAAUGCUGUCAAAGACUUUUUUUGGAGCAAACGUUUGUUUCAAGAAGCCAUGUUAAGGCCAUUUUUAGAGUUCUCUUCUUUUGAAUGUAUCAGAUUUUGGAUAAUGUUCAAAAAGUGGUAGUACAAAAGAGUUCCUUUGCUAUUUACCACUACCAUCUUGUUUGGGAAAAUACUUAGGAAAACCUCUGAUAAGUUCAAAAUAUUUUUACUGAAUUCUUCAUUUGAGUUUACAACACAGUGUUUUAGGAAGUAAAGGGAUGUUUGAUAGUUGCCGUUUGUUUAAACGGACGAAUGAGGUUAUUAAACUGAAUCCCCAAGUUCUGGUGUUCUGAAUCUAGCAUUCAAUAAUAGUAAGAAAAGUUAUUUUUUUCUCUUCUACCAGGGUUGGGGUACUAUGCUGAAUGUAGCAUAUGUACAUAUAUCAUUUAGUUCUCCCCAUUUUACAGUUGAGACUGAGACUUAGAAAAUGACUUGCCCGGUCACUUAGAGGGCCCAGUGACUCUAACUUGAAUUCGCAUGUAUUGGACUUGAUCCAAACACUUAACUGCCCAGUCACUGAAUGAGAAUUGGGCACUAGUGCUCUGCCGCCGGAUUCCCAGAGCCCCGAGCUCUGAGCUCACCGUGGCUCGGUCAGUCUGCCGAGACCCCAUCCCUGCUGAGCACUUCGUGUACACACAGGUGCUGAGCGUGCAGGCUGAGGGGCCACCACUAAAGGCUUUGAUACAGAAAAGAAAGGAAAUAGCCGUGCCCUGUCCUGCCCUCCACUGUGCCUCCUUUCUGCCCAGCCUCCUAGUGCUCCUCCUCCUCAGCACAUGCACAGCCAGUGGCACAGACCCUCACUCCUCAGGAAUCACUGGAGGGAAUGACGACUAGAGGUCAACCGGCUCAGAUCCUCUAGGGCUUUGACUGGCAAAACUAAAAGUUUGACCUCUAUUUUGUACGUGAUUAGGAGGACCCUGACAACGUUAUCUUUAAAUUAGGGUAGAUAAAAAUCAGUGGUUUUCCUUCAAAACACAAAAAACAAAAACAUGUCCAGAUGGAACACAUUAUAAGGGGCAAAAUUUCUAAUUUUAUAAGAGCAGACGUAUAGUCAUGUCACUUUCUAAAGAAACAUUGUAAGUUUGUUGUAGUGUCUCCCAAACAUUUUCUUGCUCCAUCUAUAGCAGUUUUUAGAAUUGGCACUGCCGAGACUUGGCUUUGGAUAUAGCAGCAUGCAGUUUUUCAUAACAACACAUUUUGUUGGUGAUUCAGGUCAAUUAUUUAGGAGAUAGAUUUUUCUUGAUGAAAAUUUUAUCAUUUAAUGGACAGCCGUCAGUGACACAUGUGCAUGUAACCAUAAUGCUGUAGUCUGGUACUAACAGUAAUCACUGCCUUUAGGUUUGGGGAGCAAGUGAUUUGUUUGAUUUUAAUUUUGUUUUUAAAUUUAUUCAUUCAGCAAGUAAUUUUGAAGUAUCUCCUUUGAUCAUAGUUUUGCCUUGUUUUUGGCAAGGUGGGAGGGCUAUACAAAGGCACUUGGUGAGUGCCAGUCAUUUGAAUAUCCCUGAAAAAAAAUGAAAGCACCUUUUACUUUUUAUAAAUGUAAAUGAGCAGAAAAAGGAAAAUGCUAAAACCUGAGCUCAGAGCACAACCACAGUGCUUUAGGUCUCAUCAUAGGACUGGCAGAAAUAGCAGAUUUCAUUUUUAUUUUAAAGAAAGAUGUAUGUCAUGUCCUGACAUAAGCUUUUUAAAAAUUGUGUAUACUUUUUUCAUCAAUGAAAAAUUUUCAUGAUACAAAAGUAUAUGUUACUUUUAUUGACAUCAGUCCUAACAACACAUUAGAGAAAGCACGCAGUAUCAGCCUUCUGGAUGUCUUUGGUCAGUAGGAUUUAGGGGCUGGAGUCAUGUGCGACUCAUCCUUUUCCUCGCAUUUAAUUAUUCACUAAGUCCUGUCAGAGAGUCUCUUGUCUGUCCUCUCCUUUACCUCUCCUCUGCCAGGACCAGACAUCAGACCCUUAUCAUCACUCAUCUGAUUUAUUAUAGCCACCUGAAGAUCCUUCUUCCUCCUGAAUUCUGCCUUUCUGGUCUAUUUUUUUACAUGGUGUCAGAGUUCUGUACUUAAAAAAAAAAAAAGGAAAAAAGAAAGAAAAGAAGCGGUUGUAUUCCCAACUUCUCCCCCUCUCAAAAUCUAAUGUCACCUGCUACUUAACAGAAAUGUACAAAGCUUAGCAUGGUGUUUGCAGGUGGGCCUACACCCUCGGCAGGUCCCUGCAGGACUGCAGUCUGCCUCACACUCUGCGCUAGACCGGACUUCCACAUCUCAGACAUGCCAUUCGGUUGCACAGCUCUCUGCUCCCUGGGUAUUGAGCGUGCAAUGCUUUUUGGGCGGCAUCCGACAGCUGUUAUGGAGCUCAGCUCUGACCUUCACACCCCAGCCCAGCAUAGGACUGUUUUCCAGGUUCCAUGUCAGAGGUGCCCAGGAACUUUGAGCCAACUUUGAAGUGUAAAAAAUACAGUCAUACUGAUUCUUAUCUGCAGCAUACUUUGUUUCUAUUUUCCUUGUCCCUGAAUUUCUUUUUCAGUGUUUUAUUUAUUCUGUAGGAUAUUGACUCAAAACUUUUGGAGAAAGAGAUGUAGUAGGGCUUGAGUGAAUAUGAAUAAAUGGGCAGACCAUAUGUCUGUGAAAGCAGGAACUGUGUCUCGCUCAUCUGUGUAUCUUCCAGCACUCUGUCUUCAUUGCAUAAAUGAACUGAAUUGAAUUGAAGCAUAUUUCUAUCUCCACAUCUUUAAAAGUAGUAGUUUAAAUAAUGCUGGCAAUAAAAUAGAAUUGCCAGAGUAUAGAUAGCAAUUUUAAAAACC